RNAcentral lists this ribosomal RNA (253 nucleotides) under uncultured bacterium. RNAcentral describes it as "partial 16S ribosomal RNA". It matches the Rfam family "Bacterial small subunit ribosomal RNA", at positions 524 to 776 of the family's 1533-position model. The record is from RNAcentral.
UACGUAGGGGGCUAGCGUUGUCCGGAAUCAUUGGGCGUAAAGAGCGUGUAGGCGGCCCGGUAAGUCCGCUGUGAAAGUCAGGGGCUCAACCCUUGAAUGCCGGUGGAUACUGUCGGGCUAGAGUGCGGAAGAGGCGAGUGGAAUUCCUGGUGUAGCGGUGAAAUGCGCAGAUAUCAGGAGGAACACCGAUUGCGAAGGCAGCUCGCUGGGACGUUACUGACGCUGAGACGCGAAAGCGUGGGGAGCAAACAGG